RNAcentral lists this unclassified non-coding RNA (412 nucleotides) under soil metagenome. RNAcentral describes it as "partial contains 5.8S ribosomal RNA, internal transcribed spacer 2, and large subunit ribosomal RNA". The stretch from base 1 to 122 matches the Rfam family "5.8S ribosomal RNA", at positions 35 to 154 of the family's 154-position model. The record is from RNAcentral.
GAUGAAGAACGUAGUGAAAUGCGAUACUUGGUGUGAAUUGCAGAAUCCCGUGAACCAUCGAGUCUUUGAACGCAAGUUGCGCCCGAAGCCGUCAGGCCGAGGGCACGCCUGCCUGGGCGUCACACGCCGUUGCCCCCCCGCGCCCCGCACCCAACUCUUUGGGAGCGACCGCGGGGCGGGCUGAUGAUGGCCUCCCGUGCGCUCCGCCGCGCGGUUGGUCCAAAUACCGAGUCCCCGGCGACGUGCGCCACGACGAUCGGUGGUUGAGAGACCUCUGUCGCAAGUCGUGCGCGCCCGUCGCGUCACGCGGGCUCGCAUAGCGCCUCGCGCCGCACCCGGUGCGGAGCUUUCAACGCGACCCCAGGUCAGGCGGGGUUACCCGCUGAAUUUAAGCAUAUCAAUAAGCGGAGGA